AGUAAUAAAAAGUAGUGAAGAAUAUUAAAAACAUAGUAAAAAAUAAAACACAAUAGGUUAUACCUCUCAGCUGCAUUUAGCAUUUGAGAACAUUUAGAAUAUCAAAGUCUAUGGAUUACUCUUAGAAAGAUCCCCACCUAAUAUUGGCUCUAAAUUCCAUCUGAUAUUUAUUGCAGAAUUGGGGAACUGCACAGCAACUUUCCAUCCUCUACCUCUUCAUUCCCCACUUCCCUUAUUAUUCUGGCUACAUGGAGAGAGUAUUGACUUCUGUUCCAAGCAUAUGUCUUUCUUAGUGGGACUCCCCUUCUAGACCCUAGGGACCUUGAGCAACUAGUUUGUGUGCCAGCAGUUCUGUAUUUUUGGAUGAUGAAAAUUGAUUUUCCUCCUUUUAGCAGGUGCAGUCUCCGAGUGAGCCUCUCCCCUCAUGACCUGUGCAGAUUAUGCCAUCAAUAGUGGGAGAGGGGAUGAGGACGAACAUUUGGAGCCCUCAGCACACAGCUCCAAGGGGCCUGGUGAAGCCUUGCAGCAAUGAGGGUGCACUAGAAUAAAAGCGUCAAGACAAAGACCUGUGGCCUCGUCAAAGUUUGUUGAAGCAAAUGUUUCAGGUUGCCCCUCAAGUUCCAGGACGGGUAUCUUUUAAGUAUCGACACCAAGAUUGGAGGCAGAAACGUGCAGGGAAAGCAUGGGAUUAAAGGCAAGUGAUUCCAUUCUUGCCCUUACUCUGUGGUUGUCCACUGUGGCCUUGAAGAGUUUUUUCUGUGGCCAUCUCUGCAUUCCUUAAACCUUCAUUGUCUUAUAAGGUAGAUAUAAUUAUUGCCAUACUUCUCAAUUUGAUCUUGUUUUUCCUACUUUUUACCUAAAGAUCAAACUGUGAUCAAUUCUUCUUACCAAGGAAAACUCUGGGCAAAAUGUAAAGAUGGCAAAAUAAUGUCUUUGUGGUUCCUAAGACUUUCUUUCUAGUUCCUUUUUCUCUCCCAUGGCUCCUUCCUCCCUCUG
Long non-coding RNA from Felis catus (domestic cat), 996 nucleotides. RefSeq lists it as uncharacterized. The transcript has 3 exons. The record is from RefSeq and is a predicted model, not a curated record. NCBI's taxonomy places the organism in Eukaryota, Metazoa, Chordata, Mammalia, Carnivora, Felidae.